UAUCUACUCCCUCCGUCCGAAAAUACUUGUCAUCAAAAUGAAUAAAAGGAAAUGUAUCUAGAUGUAUUUUGGUUCUAGAUACAUCCCUUUUUGUCCAUUUUGAGGACAAGUUUUUCCGGACGGAGGGAGUAUGUG
Triticum aestivum (bread wheat) is the source of this 135-nucleotide non-coding RNA. NCBI's taxonomy places the organism in Eukaryota, Viridiplantae, Streptophyta, Magnoliopsida, Poales, Poaceae. The record is from Rfam.